GCACUGUUGAGGAGUCCCGCAAUAGGACGAAAUGGCCGUCCAGUGC
Schistosoma mansoni is the source of this 46-nucleotide non-coding RNA. Lineage: Eukaryota; Metazoa; Platyhelminthes; Trematoda; Strigeidida; Schistosomatidae. The record is from Rfam.